RNAcentral lists this ribosomal RNA (687 nucleotides) under Triticum aestivum (bread wheat). Its description in RNAcentral is "partial small subunit ribosomal RNA". Lineage: Eukaryota; Viridiplantae; Streptophyta; Magnoliopsida; Poales; Poaceae. The record is from RNAcentral.
AUGGGAUCUGACGGGACGGGGGCCAGGAGGCGGCUGCCGCCAGCCAACGGUGUGUCCAAGGAAGUGGCGCCGCUGCCCCAGCCCGUCCAGCCCAGGCUGCUCACGCUGCCCACCGUGCUCACCAUUGGCCGCGUCGCCGCCGUCCCGUUCCUCAUAAGCACUUUCUACAUGGAUGGUCCUUGGGCAGCAACUGCCACAACUGGCAUCUUCCUUGCUGCAGCGAUCACUGAUUGGCUAGAUGGUUAUAUUGCGAGAAAGAUGCAUUUGGGAACACCUUUUGGUGCAUUUCUUGAUCCUGUGGCCGACAAGCUUAUGGUAGCUGCGACACUAGUGUUGCUGUGCACCAAACCUUUGGAAACUUCACUGCUCACGAAUGGACCAUGGCUUCUGACAGUUCCUUCCAUUGCCAUCAUUGGGAGAGAGAUCACAAUGUCAGCUGUUAGAGAGUGGGCUGCGUCUCAGAAUACCCAAGUUCUUGAGGCUGUGGCAGUAAACAAUUUAGGGAAGUGGAAGACAGCGACACAGAUGACAGCAUUGACUCUGCUCCUUGCCAGCAGAGACCCGAGUCUACAUGUACAAGGUGCUCUAGUCCCCCCUGGUGUUGCGUUGCUCUAUGCAUCUGCUGGACUUGCCAUAUGGUCCCUAGUGGUGUACAUCAGAAAUAUAUGGCGGAUACUUCUAAAAUAG